AAGACUAUAGACCUGCGGAGUACCUGCGGAAGGAUCAUUAUUGAAUUAUGUUUCUAAAUGGGUUGUAGCUGGCUCGUCAGAGCAUGUGCACGCCUGUUUGGGCUUCAUUUUCAUCCACCUGUGCACCUAUUGUAGUCUUUGGUUGGGUAUCAAGGAAGUGGUCAGCCUAUCAGCACUUGCUGGAUGUGAGGACUUGCAGUGUGAAAGCUUUGCUGUCCUUUACUUGAUCAUGGAGUUGUU
This 240-nucleotide unclassified non-coding RNA is filed under the name soil metagenome. Its description in RNAcentral is "partial contains 5.8S ribosomal RNA, internal transcribed spacer 2, and large subunit ribosomal RNA". The record is from RNAcentral.